UACGAAGGGGGCUAGCGUUGCUCGGAAUCACUGGGCGUAAAGCGCACGUAGGCGGAUUGCUAAGCCAGGGGUGAAAUCCUGGAGCUCAACUCCAGAACUGCCUUUGAUACUGGCAAUCUCGAGUCCGGGAGAGGUGAGUGGAACUGCGAGUGUAGAGGUGAAAUUCGUAGAUAUUCGCAAGAACACCAGUGGCGAAGGCGGCUCACUGGCCCGGUACUGACGCUGAGGAGCGAAAGCGUGGGGAGCGAACAGG
RNAcentral lists this ribosomal RNA (253 nucleotides) under uncultured bacterium. RNAcentral describes it as "partial 16S ribosomal RNA". It matches the Rfam family "Bacterial small subunit ribosomal RNA", at positions 524 to 776 of the family's 1533-position model. The record is from RNAcentral.